CCUACGGGUGGCUGCAGUGGGGAAUAUUGGACAAUGGGGGCAACCCUGAUCCAGCCAUGCCGCGUGUGUGAAGAAGGCCCUCGGGUUGUAAAGCACUAUCAGUGAGGAAGAACGCCUGGUGGUUAAUACCCAUCAGGAAAGACAUCACUCACAGAAGAAGCACCGGCUAACUCCGUGCCAGCAGCCGCGGUAAUACGGAGGGUGCGAGCGUUAAUCGGAAUUACUGGGCGUAAAGCGCGCGUAGGUGGCUUGAUAAGCCGGUUGUGAAAGCCCCGGGCUCAACCUGGGAACGGCAUCCGGAACUGUCAAGCUAGAGUGCAGGAGAGGAAGGUAGAAUUCCCGGUGUAGCGGUGAAAUGCGUAGAGAUCGGGAGGAAUACCAGUGGCGAAGGCGGCCUUCUGGACUGACACUGACACUGAGGUGCGAAAGCGUGGGUAGCAAACAGGAUUAGAUACCUUUGUAGUC
Molecule: ribosomal RNA, 465 nt
Filed under: Vreelandella stevensii
Lineage: Bacteria; Pseudomonadati; Pseudomonadota; Gammaproteobacteria; Oceanospirillales; Halomonadaceae
Description: partial 16S ribosomal RNA
Rfam family: Bacterial small subunit ribosomal RNA
Source: RNAcentral